UUGCAAAAUUAGUUACCGUAUAUCGCCCUGUCUGCCUAACGUGGUGGUUAGGUACUGAUGAUGUAGCCAAAG
Molecule: non-coding RNA, 72 nt
Filed under: Beggiatoa leptomitoformis
Lineage: Bacteria; Pseudomonadati; Pseudomonadota; Gammaproteobacteria; Thiotrichales; Thiotrichaceae
Source: RNAcentral